AUUGAACGCUGGCGGCAUGCUUUACACAUGCAAGUCGAACGGUAACAGGUUAAGCUGACGAGUGGCGAACGGGUGAGUAAUGCAUCGGAACGUGCCCAAUCGUGCGGGAUAACGCAGCGAAAGCUGCGCUAAUACCGCAUACGAUCUGAGGAUGAAAGCGGGGGACCGUAAGGCCUCGCGCGAUCGGAGCGGCCGAUGUCAGAUUAGGUAGUUGGUGGGGUAAAGGCUCACCAAGCCAACGAUCUGUAGCUGGUCUGAGAGGACGACCAGCCACACUGGGACUGAGACACGGCCCAGACUCCUACGGGAGGCAGCAGUGGGGAAUUUUGGACAAUGGGCGAAAGCCUGAUCCAGCAAUGCCGCGUGCAGGAAGAAGGCCUUCGGGUUGUAAACUGCUUUUGUACGGAGCGAAAAGGUCUCCUCUAAUACAGGGGGCUCAUGACGGUACCGUAAGAAUAAGCACCGGCUAACUACGUGCCAGCAGCCGCAGUAA
This 493-nucleotide ribosomal RNA is filed under the name uncultured bacterium. RNAcentral's name for it is "partial 16S ribosomal RNA". It matches the Rfam family "Bacterial small subunit ribosomal RNA", at positions 30 to 523 of the family's 1533-position model. The record is from RNAcentral.